UUUUUUCCCAGUUUCACACACCUCAUUCUCAUCACUUCCCUCUCUCUCAUCUUUCUCCUUGCUCCCUCUCUGCAAAGUUUGUUAUGAGUUUGUAGCAAACUCUAACCGCCAAUUCUAUCUUCACUCUCAUCUCAACCUCCAUCUCAACCAUCAUCGUCCAUCUCUCAUCUCUCUAACGACCACAACAACCUUCAUCACCACCAUAACCAAACCUCCAUCCAUUCCCAACCUUCAUCAAUCAUCACCCUCAUCUACCUCCAAUCACCAUCUACAAGUUCUCCUUGUAUCAAGAGCCUGAUUCUUCUCUCUCUUUCGACAUCACGAUCAUCAUCAUCAUCAUCAUCACCUAGCAGCUACCACCACCGCUUCCUCAACCUCUAUCAUUGAAUCACGAUCUCAAGUAUCGAUUUUCAUCAUUGGUUUCGUGUGAAUUAGAAGUCCAGAGUUCAUAACUGACUUGAAGGCAUUUCUCAGCUACGCUUGGAGACCUUUGGAACUGGUUAUCAUCUCAUUCAGGCCUCAAAGAUCGCACAAGAACUGAGUUUAUUUUCUCAGUGGAGUAGAACAAUUACGAAGCUAAUUUACGUCACCUUCAAGGGAUCUGAAGUGUAGAGUUCUUUUCUGGAAUUUCGUUCAAGAUCAUACAGUUGAAGCCUGUUGUGUGACAAUGACUUCAUCAUAUGAGGAUAUUCGCCUCAAAACAAUUGCAGAGAAUAAGAAAAAGCUAGAGGCUCUCAAUCUUACUAAACUCUCUCAAUCCCUUUACAAAUCAUCUUCGUCUUCUUCCAAACCAUCAUCGUCUGUGAAGGGUCGUCCGAGGUUUGUACAACCUAGAGAGCUUGAAGUAAAUAAGAAGCGCCUACGUUCAACGACAACUAGAAACUCAUCAAUAACCCCUACGCCAGUCCAAACUACAAAAACCCCUCCGCCAAUCCAAACUACAAUAACGCCUCCGCCAAUCCAAACUGCAGAAGAUGUUGUGGUUGAAGAUGAGGAUGGAGAUGUUGUUGUAGGAGAUAAUACUGAAAAUAUUGUGGUAGGAGAUGAGGGUGAAGAUGGGGUGGCAGGAGAUGAGGAUUAAGAUGUUGUGGUAGGAGAUGAGACUGAAGAUGUUGUUCAAGUGGCUAGUUCUGAGUAUUGGGAUGUAAAUGUUAUUAAUGAGGAUGGUUAUGUUUCAAAGACCCGUUUAUGUGUGAAAGACUUGGUUGCGAACUCAGAGUCUAGUGGAACAUGGAUAAUACUUGAAUGGGAUAAGAGUCAUCGUGCAGUAGGACCAGCUGCUCGUUUGUUAGCAGGGUAUUUGGAUACACUUGUCAGAAUGUUUAAAGACUUUCCCAUAAUGUUCGAGAGUUGGAAGGCUAUUCCAAUGGAUAAAAAAACAAAGUUUUAUGAUGCAGAG
RNA transcript from Vicia villosa (hairy vetch), 1399 nucleotides. RefSeq lists it as uncharacterized. The transcript is spliced from 4 exons. The record is from RefSeq and is a predicted model, not a curated record. Lineage: Eukaryota; Viridiplantae; Streptophyta; Magnoliopsida; Fabales; Fabaceae.